RNAcentral lists this long non-coding RNA (1420 nucleotides) under Sus scrofa (pig). RNAcentral's name for it is "lncRNA (ENSSSCG00060056926.1)". Lineage: Eukaryota; Metazoa; Chordata; Mammalia; Artiodactyla; Suidae. The record is from RNAcentral.
GGCUCAGAUCUGAUGUUGCUGUGGCUGUGAUGUAGGCUGGCAGCUGUAGCUCUGAUUGGACCCCUUGCCUGGGAACCUCCAUGUGCCACGGAUGCGGCCCUAAAAAGCAAAAAAAAAAGGGGGGGGAGUGGGGGGACGUGGGGAGGCUGAGAGAUGUCAGAUAUUUUCCUCCAAAGACACAUGGCCAACAAGUGGUGGAUGAAGUCCCCGAGCCUCCAGCCAACCUUGGUCCUCACACCUACUGCAGUCAUAUUUAGAUUAUUGGGCAGGGGGAAGCUAGAAAAAGAACCCCCAACCUUUCUUGGGGGACAUUCUCAGUUUUCUGUUAAGUUUUACAGAAAGGAACUUAUUUUUCCAUAUCCAAAGUCCAGCUAUAAUUUCAGCCAUCCCUCUUAAACUAGUUUGGAUGGAAACUCAAAAUUUCCAAGAGAAUUUUAAAAAAUAAUUAUUCCCUCUAUGUACCUCAACCCCCCCCGCCUCCUCCCACCCCAGGCCUAUAAAACCUCCCCUGGUAUUAAGGGGAAAAAAAGAAAAGGAAAAGCCUUCUCCAAAAAAUAUUUGUCCCUCAUUGCCAUGCCCCCUGCAUUGGACUUCCAGAUAAACCCUCCCAGCAAGAGCAGGCAAAGCCUCAUUCUAGAGGUGGCGCCUACGUGUUAUUGCCAAUGUCCCAAAGAGGCUAAAAUCAAUGGAUGGGAGAGAAAGGAAGCAUAAACCCUGGGAAACAAAUUUCCUUCAUGACACUUAUUUAUCUACCUUUUUUUUUCUUUGGAAGGGGCAGGAUUGGCUGCGUUUACAAAUCCUGGUGACUUGUUAAAGCUUUUGUUUAGUUAACAGCUUCUGACAUCAGCCACACAAGUGCUGGAUCACUUUCUGGAUGUAAAGAUGCUCAAGGAGAACCCAAGGUGACGCUAAUAGCAGCUGUCAACCCACAGAGAGGUAAUUAUAAAGCGGUGAUUAAAGCAAAACAAAACCUUCAAAUGUUAGAGCCUUCUCAACGGAAACAGCAGGUGGUAGGAUAAGAAACGACAUUAGCCUCCUGAGGAAGCCUCAGGAAAGAUGCGGACCAAACUGGACCCCCUGAAUGCUUCCUGUCUCAGAAACACCCACCUAGCGAGCAAUCUGUGUGCCCAGUGAUGCUAUGCUGCCUGCCUGCCCAGGGGACUCCUGGAGCCCAGCUGGGAACGGAUGGUUAGAACGCUGCUUCCCCAGCCUGUCUGAUCUUGGGCAGACCAAACCCAGGCUCUUUGCUCCAGGGACAGAUCUAUAGCAGAGGCCAUGGUUGGACGGCCAAGUGCCUGCAGCAGGCAGGCCCUGAAGAUCAGAGCAGACCAGGCAGACCUUCUCCACCCUGACGUUUUAAGGGGCAAAACUCUGGAGCCAAACUAGCUCCAAAAGACCACGGGAUUUUAGUGGGUCGUCU